Long non-coding RNA from Salmo trutta (river trout), 1690 nucleotides. NCBI's taxonomy places the organism in Eukaryota, Metazoa, Chordata, Actinopteri, Salmoniformes, Salmonidae. The record is from Ensembl.
ACACAUUCUUAUUUACAAUGUUAUGUAUUGCUCAUCAUUGUUGUCGGCUGUUGUUUACUUAUUUAUUUGUUGUCUCAUCACAUUAUUUUACAAAAAAAACCGGAAACGUAGCUAAUACAUCAGUAUUUAUUGUUUCGACGGGUCUUUUUAGUGGUAUGGGGUUCCAGUAUGGCGUCGCUGGUCGCAUUGAUUGACAGAUCAUCCCUGAAGUUGUUUUAUUACGUAAAAGUUCUUUCACAUUAUGACGUUGGCUGAGUUACCGUAUAAAAUGCGAUAGCCUUAUCUCUUUGGUAAUCACUUGGUUAAGUUUUACGUGAUGAGAACAUAAGCUCCAGUCAUAGACUUUAACCAUGGAGGAUAAUAAGGAUAAUAAGAGUUUAAACGAAGAUGAUCCACAUGAUCAUCAAAGUUUGGAAGGUCAAGUCCAGAAAAUGAAGAAAGAUAUCCUGAGUUUAAACUAUCCAGAAGAUAGUGAAGUGAAGGAUCCCCUGCAUCAGAUCGAGCUGAAGGCUGUGACAAGGAGAAAAGUUAAGGUGAGACAAUAGAUUGAGGAGAGAAAGGGAAAUCUGGGGUCUUACCUGUCCACACUCCAAACCUGUCCAAUAUGCCAUACAACAUGCUGUUGUGAGGUUGGAGGGUAAAUUGUCCUUACAACAGACUUCCAUAAUAAUAUUCAAUCACCAAUCGUUUACCCUAGCUCUUCUCAAAGGCCUGUAUAGCAACGGCAACAUACAGUAUGUCACUGACUGUAUUGUCUUUUUAGACAAAGAGGAGGACCGGUGCCAACAGGUCCACAGUUGAACAGAGCACUGAUACUGAUGCAGCUGAGAGAGAUUUUGUUGAUAAUCAGAAUGAUGAAGAUGAGGAAGAGGUGAAGAAGGAUCCCCUGCCUCAGAUGGAGCAGGAUGCCGUGAAGAGAAAUAAAGUCAAGGUAAGGGAAUAGAUUGAGCAGAGAUGUGGAUAUUUGUGAUAUCUUUCAUGUCUAUAACCUGACCCUACAGCAUGUUGUUCUGAGGAAGGUAAAUUGCCCAUACAAUACCCUUUUAUCUCCUAAUAGUAAAUCUAGGGCUGACCCCAUUUGGUCGAUUGUUUGGUCGAUAGGCUAUUGGUUGACUGGGAUUUCUUAAGUCGAGCAGUCGCAAAAGUUUUUUUUCUUCAUGGUGCACAUGGACACCUGUCUGAUUCGCGCCUGUCACAGUUGACUAAUCCAUUGCCGAGGCCACAGUGAUGGCACAGUCCAUCACGCUAAGACGUGAUACUGAAAUUGUAUAUGGUUAUAUUAUGUAAAAAUAAUGGUGCAACACUAAUCAAUCAAAUAUUAUUUUAUAACAAAUGUGCUUUCUCCCGCGUUGGAUACGGUCGCUGUCCGUGGUUCUGAAACAUAAUCUUCAGUGCGCCGUAGAAUUGGGGCCCUUCCCUAUGUUGGUAUGUGCAUAAUAGCAAAGUUAACCAGCAUAUUGGGAUUGAGAACAAUGCUGCAGAGGCAGCAGCAGCAGCAGAGACGGGGAAACAGCCCUUGCCUUAGCCUAAUUGUCUAAGAAGAUUGAGGAGAGAAGAAAACACAACUUAAUUAGGUCUAUAAUCAAUAGCCUAAUUGUUAAAUGUGCCUGGCUUUGUAAAUCAUCCAUAUAUAUAUUACCAGUCAAAAGGGUUUUUCUUUAUUUUUACUAUUUUCUACAUUGUAGAAUAG